Molecule: long non-coding RNA, 490 nt
Organism: Hyla sarda
Lineage: Eukaryota; Metazoa; Chordata; Amphibia; Anura; Hylidae
Exons: 3
Source: RefSeq, a predicted model, not a curated record
CAAAGUUUAUUUUCUUCAAAAGUAAAGCCAAAUUGCCUCUACAGCCACGGAUGCCAAAGACAUUUGUGCCGCUUUGAUUUAUCUGGUGCAGUUGCUGUCGGCGUUUCAUGCAAACAUGUAUAGUUCAUUUUCUGGAUAAUUUGUUCAAAAGAUCAAGUUUACUUCUGCCCAUGUGAAGCAAACUGCAAUCUAAUGUUUUUAAUACAGGGUGUAAUAAGAUAUUUACUUGUCAGAUAAAAGAAUAUGGUAUAUUAGAAUUCAAGCAUUUGCUGGACACAUCAGAUUCUCGGCCCACGUUUGCAGUCAUCGCUUAAAGGAACCAAAGAAGCAGAUGUAACUAUUAGUUCACAAGGGGAAAAUAUAACUGGCGAGUAUGCUAUGUCAUUGCCAUUAAACUUGAAAGCUAAAAAUAGAACUGGGUGACUAUGAAAAUAAUUUCUCUCUCAUUGGUUGUCACUAAUAGCAUUAUAACCGAGAGAUAUUUGUAGAU